UAUUAUUAUUAUUAUUCUCCACUCAAACUGAUCGUGCAGCCUAAACCGUAAGGGCUAGAAAGCUGAAAUUUGGUCAGAUUGUAGUAGUCCGGCCUUCUUGUCAGAUACUGAGUCUCGACCCAAUCGGCCUAACGGGGGCGCUACAGUGCAAAAAACUAAAAUUUUGGACAUUUUUGGCCGUAAAUCGUAUACCGUUAGCCGUAGACUCAAAAACAUGGCAUUGUUGCAAUCCUUGGGUUAGCCCGAACAAAAGUGCACGGCGCCUUUUUGGGGUCUACGACGCACCGUUUUCUCGCAAAAUCGAGCUAUAUCCGAAACCUACUUUUGCGAACUAGUCCUAGGAUUUUCAACCAAUCAGAACCAAACCACUUCAGAAAUAUUCCCUGGACACUCAAUAUCAAUAAUUAUCAAAAAAAAGUUGAAAUUUCAAUUCUUACGCGAAACAGUACGCCAAAAAGCGUCUAUGCUAACGUUAGCCAAAUGCUAUUUUGACUAUAACUCUUGAAUGAAAUGAGAUAUCUUCACCAAACUCGGUACACAUAUGUAGGAGCUCAAUCUUUGGUCAAAUCAAAAAAAUAGCGCAUCUCUGCCACUUGGGGGCGCUAUAAGAUAGAAAAAACACAUAAAUUGCUAUAACUACGCAACCGUUGGCUCGAUCGACUUGAAAAUCAGUAUGCAGUGUCUUGGUCUGAAGGGGCACAAGUACCUAUGAGGACAUUUGCAUAUCUCAAAAAACAUGGCCGCCAUUGGCCAAACAAAUUUAAGCACCUAUUUGAAAGGGUUAACGGAUGUUGAUCGGAACGAAACUCGCUGGGUACGUUCGACUCAUGAACCUUAAGGUCUGUAAGAAUUUUGAAAGAAAUCGGCCACUAGUUGGCGCUAACGAGUUUUAUGGCUCUGUAAUCACGUGGUGUUUCACAUAUCAACACAAUAUGCAUAUCAUUUGAUAGAUCUCCUCGUAAUGCACAACUUUGCCUCAAGAACCAUUGCUGUCAAUCAAAUCGUUCAAUUGUUAUUCACAAAUAUGUUAAAAACCUACUUUUGCGAACUAGUCCUAGGUUUUUUGUCCGAUCGGAACCAAACCACUGCAGUAAUAUUCUGUGGACUCUGUAGAUCAAUAAUUAUUAAAAAAAUGUUGAAUUUUGUCCUUUGGUUAGCUGUAAAGGGGUAAUAUAGAAAAAGGGGUGUGGCCAAACAUACCCCAAAGCCUAUAAAACCUAAACGAAAACUCAAAACUUUAUGAAUCUCAGUGAAAUCAUGUAACAGGUGACUCUUAACAAGCAUGCAAAGUUUCAUGGAGAUCGGACCAUAGGUGGCGCUAUAACAGUAGAAAAGGUCUCAAAACACAAGAUUUAUAUGGUAAAUCGCCUCAAAUUGUUUGAAAAUGUUCAUAUAUUCACUCAAAAACACUAAAUCUUCAUAUCAUAUGAUAAAUCUCCUCAUUCUGAACAACUUUGCCUCUGGGACCAAUGUUGUCAAUAAAGCUGUUAAUUAAAUAUUCAAGAUUAUUUAAAAAAGUUACUUUGGCAUACUUGUGAUACGGUUUAAGAUGAAAAUCAAUAAAACCACUGAAGUACAA
This is a long non-coding RNA of Carassius gibelio (silver crucian carp), 1579 nucleotides long. RefSeq lists it as uncharacterized. The transcript has 2 exons. The record is from RefSeq and is a predicted model, not a curated record. NCBI's taxonomy places the organism in Eukaryota, Metazoa, Chordata, Actinopteri, Cypriniformes, Cyprinidae.